This 261-nucleotide long non-coding RNA is filed under the name Mytilus galloprovincialis (Mediterranean mussel). Lineage: Eukaryota; Metazoa; Mollusca; Bivalvia; Mytilida; Mytilidae. The record is from RNAcentral.
GCCAUUGUAAUACUAUUCAAAAGAGAAAAGUGACAGCCUGAUUUAUGAACAAAACAAUAAACGAAAAACAGUUAUGAUAUGCAGUAACAAACGUCAACCACUAAAUUAAAAGCUUCCGACUGUUGACAGGUUCAUACAGAAUGUGGUAGGUUUUACAUGUGUGUGUGCGCUCUAUCCUCCCCUUUAUGUUGGACAGUGAUAUGUAACAAAACAACAUAAUAAUUAGCUUUACAAAUCAGUUUGAAAGGGCUUAACACAAAG